UGGGGAAUAUUGGGCAAUGGGCGAAAGCCUGACCCAGCAACGCCGCGUGAAGGAAGAAGGUUUUCGGAUUGUAAACUUCUGUCCUCAGGGAAGAAACAAAUGACGGUACCUGAGGAGGAAGCCCGGCUAACUACGUGCC
This 139-nucleotide ribosomal RNA is filed under the name uncultured bacterium. RNAcentral describes it as "partial 16S ribosomal RNA". It matches the Rfam family "Bacterial small subunit ribosomal RNA", at positions 355 to 509 of the family's 1533-position model. The record is from RNAcentral.